UACGGAGGAUGCGAGCGUUAUCCGGAUUCAUUGGGUUUAAAGGGUGCGUAGGCGGCCCGGUAAGUCAGCGGUGAAAGUUUGCGGCUCAACCGUAAAAUUGCCGUUGAUACUGUCGGGCUUGAGUUCAGAUGAAGUGGGCGGAAUGAGUAGUGUAGCGGUGAAAUGCUUAGAUAUUACUCAGAACACCGAUUGCGAAGGCAGCCCACUAAACUGCGACUGACGCUGAUGCACGAAAGCGUGGGGAUCGAACAGGAUUAGAUA
This 261-nucleotide ribosomal RNA is filed under the name uncultured prokaryote. RNAcentral describes it as "partial 16S ribosomal RNA". It matches the Rfam family "Bacterial small subunit ribosomal RNA", at positions 524 to 784 of the family's 1533-position model. The record is from RNAcentral.